This 716-nucleotide long non-coding RNA is filed under the name Homo sapiens (human). RNAcentral describes it as "non-protein coding lnc-UBL5-1:4". The record is from RNAcentral. Lineage: Eukaryota; Metazoa; Chordata; Mammalia; Primates; Hominidae.
GUAAGCAGGGCUCGAGCUCGCCCCUUGGGCGCGGCGGCAGCGCUGCCUCCCUCCCAUGGGGUCCUGGCUCUUCCGCGUCGUCCCCGGGGUAACGGCCCCGGCCCGCCCUGUUGUGGGGACUGCGAGCCUCAGGAGCCGCCGGGAAGCCUGAGGAAGCUGAGGCAGGGGGCUGGGCGGGUGAGGGUCCGGGGAGUCCGGGGCGAUGGCCCUGGCCCUGCCGGCCCGGCUGAUACCUCUCGGCCUAAUGCACCUGACACCCCGGGGGACGUCUCUGCACCUUGCUGGGCCCGGGGGCACCCCUGGGAGGGAGACACCCCAGUACCCUGCAAAGGGCGUAGGGUGUUGCCCGGCCUCGGGUCCACAACCUACCCCUGCUAACACCCCUACUGUGUACACCUAAUGCUGAGUCUGCGACAUCGCCCGUGACAUUCUGCCAGACGAUGGCCCCUGUGCUUAGGCCCGAUUUAAGGGUUAGCCACAAUGAUAAUAUUGCCAGUAACAGGGCAUGUUUUUCUCUGUGUCAAGCGCUUUAAGUUCUCUCUGAAUUGCCGCAACUCUGGGAGCCAGGUGCUGGAGGCAGACUCGAGGGCCGAAUUGUUUCUAGUUAGGCCACGCUCCUCUGUUCAGUCGCAAAGGUGAACACUCAUGCGGCCCAGCCAUGGGCCCUCUGAGCAACUGUGCAGCACCCUUUCACCCCCAAUUAAACCCAGAACCAC